UGGGGAAUUUUGGACAAUGGGCGAAAGCCUGAUCCAGCAAUGCCGCGUGUGUGAAGAAGGCCUUCGGGUUGUAAAGCACUUUUGUCCGGAAAGAAAUCCUUGGCUCUAAUACAGUCGGGGGAUGACGGUACCGGAAGAAUAAGCACCGGCUAACUACGUGCCAGCAGCCGCGGUAAUACGUAGGGUGCAAGCGUUAAUCGGAAUUACUGGGCGUAAAGCGUGCGCAGGCGGUUUGCUAAGACCGAUGUGAAAUCCCCGGGCUCAACCUGGGAACUGCAUUGGUGACUGGCAGGCUAGAGUAUGGCAGAGGGGGGUAGAAUUCCACGUGUAGCAGUGAAAUGCGUAGAGAUGUGGAGGAAUACCGAUGGCGAAGGCAGCCCCCUGGGCCAAUACUGACGCUCAUGCACGAAAGCGUGGGGAGCAAACAGGAUUAGAUACCCCUGGUAGUCCACGCCCUAAACGAUGUCAACUAGUUGUUGGGGGAUUCAUUUCCUUAGUAACGUAGCUAACGCGUGAAGUUGACCGCCUGGGGAGUACGGUCGCAAGAUUAAAACUCAAAGGAAUUGACGGGGUCAUAGCUG
RNAcentral lists this ribosomal RNA (581 nucleotides) under uncultured bacterium. Its description in RNAcentral is "partial 16S ribosomal RNA". It matches the Rfam family "Bacterial small subunit ribosomal RNA", at positions 355 to 932 of the family's 1533-position model. The record is from RNAcentral.